ACUCUGGUAGUUCAAUGGUAGAACGUGGGCCUGAUAAGCCCAACACGAUAGUUCAACUCUAUCUCAGAGUA
Molecule: transfer RNA, 71 nt
Filed under: Candidatus Brocadiales bacterium
Lineage: Bacteria; Pseudomonadati; Planctomycetota; Candidatus Brocadiia; Candidatus Brocadiales
Description: tRNA-Ile
Rfam family: tRNA
About the family: Transfer RNA (tRNA) molecules are approximately 80 nucleotides in length. Their secondary structure includes four short double-helical elements and three loops (D, anti-codon, and T loops). Further hydrogen bonds mediate the characteristic L-shaped molecular structure. tRNAs have two regions of fundamental functional importance: the anti-codon, which is responsible for specific mRNA codon recognition, and the 3' end, to which the tRNAs corresponding amino acid is attached (by aminoacyl-tRNA synthetases). tRNAs cope with the degeneracy of the genetic code in two manners: having more than one tRNA (with a specific anti-codon) for a particular amino acid; and 'wobble' base-pairing, i.e. permitting non-standard base-pairing at the 3rd anti-codon position.
Source: RNAcentral